RNAcentral lists this ribosomal RNA (509 nucleotides) under uncultured bacterium. RNAcentral's name for it is "bacterial SSU rRNA". It matches the Rfam family "Bacterial small subunit ribosomal RNA", at positions 28 to 507 of the family's 1533-position model. The record is from RNAcentral.
GAUGAACGCUAGCGACAGGCCUAACACAUGCAAGUCGAGGGGCAUCGGGGUGUAGCAAUACGCUGCCGGCGACCGGCGGAUGGGUGAGUAACGCGUAUGCAACCUGCCUUCAGCAGGGGGAUAGCCCGUUGAAAAGACGGAUUAAUACCCCGUAACACAGGGGCUCCGCAUGGAGAUUAUUGUUAAAGGGAUGCUUCCUUCGGGGAGUAUUCUGGCUGAAGAUGGGCAUGCGUUCCAUUAGGUAGUUGGUUGAGGUAACGGCUCACCAAGCCUGCGAUGGAUAGGGGAACUGAGAGGUUGGGUCCCCCACACUGGUACUGAGACACGGACCAGACUCCUACGGGAGGCAGCAGUGAGGAAUCUUGGUCAAUGGACGGAAGUCUGAACCAGCCAUGUCGCGUGAAGGAGGACGGCCCUAAGGGUUGUAAACUUCUUUUGCAGGGGAAUAAAGUAUUCCACGAGAUGGGAUAUUGCAAGUACGCUGCGAAUAAGGAUCGGCUAACUCCGUG